UACGUAGGGUGCGAGCAUUGUCCGGAAUUAUUGGGCGUAAAGAGCUCGUAGGCGGUCUGUCGCGUCGGUCGUGAAAACUUGGGGCUUAACCCUGAGCUUGCGGUCGAUACGGGCAUGACUGGAGUUCGGCAGGGGAGACUGGAAUUCCUGGUGUAGCGGUGAAAUGCGCAGAUAUCAGGAGGAACACCGGUGGCGAAGGCGGGUCUCUGGGCCGAUACUGACGCUGAGGAGCGAAAGCGUGGGGAGCGAACAGG
This 254-nucleotide ribosomal RNA is filed under the name uncultured bacterium. RNAcentral describes it as "partial 16S ribosomal RNA". It matches the Rfam family "Bacterial small subunit ribosomal RNA", at positions 524 to 776 of the family's 1533-position model. The record is from RNAcentral.